This is a long non-coding RNA of Panthera uncia (snow leopard), 682 nucleotides long. RefSeq lists it as uncharacterized. The transcript is spliced from 3 exons. NCBI's taxonomy places the organism in Eukaryota, Metazoa, Chordata, Mammalia, Carnivora, Felidae. The record is from RefSeq and is a predicted model, not a curated record.
AUAUCUAUGAAGUGUUUUCAUAUUUUUCUCUUCUUUCUCUUCCUCUUUGGGAGAAAAUGUCCCAAGGGACAUCUGCUACGGAUACUCCUGCUGACCAAAAGUCACUUACUUCAUCAGACAAUAUGCCAAGCCUAGGUUCACAUUGGGGAAGUAUCUUGAAGGCAUAGAAGGCGACCAGAAAGACUAGAAAAGACUUUUGGCUGCCAAGGGGCAAAAAGAAAUGACCAUUCAGGUUUUUGCCAAAAACAUCCUGAGCUUCUGCAUUGUGCUGAUCAAUUGCCUUCUUACGAUCCAGUUUUGAAUGGAGACCAGAUACAUCUUUUGUAGUUUCUUCAACUGUGGUAAGCAACUACAUACGAUUUUUAAAAAUAAAUGUUGAUUAAGAUGGGUAUCACAAAAGCAGACUACUGAAAAUAUCUGUGCUACAUACAGAUUUCUCCUGACAAGAAUUAGUAAAUUUUGAGGCGUAUGGGUGGCUCAGUCAGUUAAGCAUCCAACUCUUGAUUUCAGCUCAGGUCAUGAUCCCAUGGUUAGUGGGAACGAGACCUGUGUCGGGCUCCACACUGACAGCAAAGAGCCUGCUUGGGAUUCUCUCUUUCUCUCUCUCUCUCUUUCUCUCUGCCCUUCCCCAGCUGGUACUCUCUCUCUCUCAAAAUAAAUAAACUUAAAAAAAAAAAAAGAA